GACGAACGCUGGCGGCGUGCUUAACACAUGCAAGUCGAACGGAAAGGCCCUGCUUGCCUGGUGCUCGAGUGGCGAACGGGCGAGUAACACGGGGGUGAUUUGCCCCUUACUUUUGGAUAAGGCUUGGAGACGGGGUCUAAUACUUGAUAGGACCAUGCUGUAGGGGGUGAGGUGGGAGGAUUAGUGUCGGUAAGGGGUGAGCUCGCGGCCUUUACGCUUGUUGUUGGGGGAGUGGCCUACCAAGGCCUCGACGGGUAGCCGGCCAGAGAGGGUGGACGGCAACGUUGGGACUGAGACGCGACGCAGAAGCCUGCGGGAGGCGGCAGUGGGGGAAAGUCCACAAUGGGCGCACGGCGGAUGCAACGACGCCGUGUGGGGGAUAAAGGCCUUCGGGUUGUAAACAACUUCCAGCCAUGAAGACGCCCUUGUGGUGACGGUAGUGAUAGAAGAAGCACCGGCUAACUACGUG
Molecule: ribosomal RNA, 469 nt
Filed under: uncultured bacterium
Lineage: Bacteria
Description: partial 16S ribosomal RNA
Rfam family: Bacterial small subunit ribosomal RNA
Source: RNAcentral